Molecule: ribosomal RNA, 324 nt
Filed under: Trichoderma sp. KF-113
Lineage: Eukaryota; Fungi; Ascomycota; Sordariomycetes; Hypocreales; Hypocreaceae
Also listed under: 3 other names
Description: SSU rRNA
Rfam family: Eukaryotic small subunit ribosomal RNA
Source: RNAcentral
CUAAUACAUGCUAAAAAUCCCGACUUCGGAAGGGUUGUAUUUAUUAGAUUAAAAACCAAUGCCCCUCGGGGCUCUCUGGUGAAUCAUGAUAACUAGUCGAAUCGACAGGCCUUGUGCCGGCGAUGGCUCAUUCAAAUUUCUUCCCUAUCAACUUUCGAUGUUUGGGUCUUGUCCAAACAUGGUGGCAACGGGUAACGGAGGGUUAGGGCUCGACCCCGGAGAAGGAGCCUGAGAAACGGCUACUACAUCCAAGGAAGGCAGCAGGCGCGCAAAUUACCCAAUCCCGACACGGGGAGGUAGUGACAAUAAAUACUGAUACAGGGC